UAAUACGUAGGGUGCAGGCGUUAAUCGGAAUUACUGGGCGUAAAGCGUGCGCAGGCGGCUCCUUAAGUCAGAUGUGAAAGCCCCGGGCUUAACCUGGGAACUGCGUUUGAAACUGGGGAGCUAGAGUGUGGAAGAGGGGGGUGGAAUUCCAGGUGUAGCAGUGAAAUGCGUAGAGAUCUGGAGGAACACCGAUGGCGAAGGCAGCCCCCUGGGCUAACACUGACGCUCAUGCACGAAAGCGUGGGGAGCAAACAGGAUUAGAUACCCUGGUAGUCCACGCCCUAAACGAUGUCGACUGGUUGUUGGGGGUUUGACACUCUCAGUAACGAAGCUAACGCGUGAAGUCGACCGCCUGGGGAGUACGGCCGCAAGGUUA
RNAcentral lists this ribosomal RNA (376 nucleotides) under uncultured bacterium. RNAcentral describes it as "bacterial SSU rRNA". It matches the Rfam family "Bacterial small subunit ribosomal RNA", at positions 521 to 896 of the family's 1533-position model. The record is from RNAcentral.